UGAGUAACGCGUGGGUAACCUGCCUUAUACAGGGGGAUAACAGUCAGAAAUGGCUGCUAAUACCGCAUAAGCGCACAGAGCUGCAUGGCUCAGUGUGAAAAACUCCGGUGGUAUAAGAUGGACCCGCGUUGGAUUAGCUAGUUGGUGGGGUAACGGCCCACCAAGGCGACGAUCCAUAGCCGGCCUGAGAGGGUGAACGGCCACAUUGGGACUGAGACACGGCCCAGACUCCUACGGGAGGCAGCAUG
RNAcentral lists this ribosomal RNA (248 nucleotides) under uncultured bacterium. Its description in RNAcentral is "partial 16S ribosomal RNA". It matches the Rfam family "Bacterial small subunit ribosomal RNA", at positions 107 to 353 of the family's 1533-position model. The record is from RNAcentral.